Molecule: transfer RNA, 88 nt
Filed under: Bacillota bacterium
Lineage: Bacteria; Bacillati; Bacillota
Description: tRNA-Leu
Rfam family: tRNA
About the family: Transfer RNA (tRNA) molecules are approximately 80 nucleotides in length.
Source: RNAcentral
GGGAGAAUGGCGGAACCGGCAGACGCUACGGACUUAAAAUCCGUUGUUCCAAAAGAACGUGGGGGUUCAAGUCCCCCUUCUCCCACCA